RNAcentral lists this ribosomal RNA (460 nucleotides) under uncultured bacterium. RNAcentral's name for it is "partial 16S ribosomal RNA". It matches the Rfam family "Bacterial small subunit ribosomal RNA", at positions 338 to 795 of the family's 1533-position model. The record is from RNAcentral.
CCUACGGGAGGCAGCAGUGAGGAAUCUUGGUCAAUGGACGAGAGUCUGAACCAGCAAAGUCGCGUGAAGGGUGACUGCCCUCUGGGCUGUAAACUCUUUUUUUAUGGGAAUAAAUCGUUGCACGUGUGGGUUCUCGUAUGUACCAUAUGUAACAGGAUAGGCAAACCCCGCGCCGGCAGCCGCGGUAAUCCGGUGGAUCCGAGCGUUAUCCGGAUUUAUUGGGUUUAAGGGGAGCGUAGGUGGGUUGUUAAGUCAGUUGUGAAAGUUUGCGGCUCAACCGGAAAAGUGCAUUUGAAACUGGGAGUCUUGAGUACAGUAGAGGUGAGCGGAAUUCGUGGUGUAGCGGUGAAAUGCUUAGAUAUCACGAAGAACUCCGAUUGCGAAGGCAGUUCACUGGACUGCAACUGACACUGAGGCUCGAAAGUGUGGGUAUCAAACAGGAUUAGAUACCCUGGUAGUC